CAGUCGCCGCGGGAAUACGUAGGUGGCAAGCGUUGUCCGGAUUUAUUGGGCGUAAAGCGAGCGCAGGCGGUUAGAUAAGUCUGAAGUUAAAGGCUGUGGCUUAACCAUAGUACGCUUUGGAAACUGUUUAACUUGAGUGCAGAAGGGGAGAGUGGAAUUCCAUGUGUAGCGGUGAAAUGCGUAGAUAUAUGGAGGAACACCGGUGGCGAAAGCGGCUCUCUGGUCUGUAACUGACGCUGAGGCUCGAAAGCGUGGGGAGCAAACAGGAUUAGAUACCCGGGUAGUCCCUGUCUCUUAUACA
RNAcentral lists this ribosomal RNA (301 nucleotides) under uncultured bacterium. RNAcentral's name for it is "partial 16S ribosomal RNA". It matches the Rfam family "Bacterial small subunit ribosomal RNA", at positions 509 to 808 of the family's 1533-position model. The record is from RNAcentral.